RNAcentral lists this ribosomal RNA (580 nucleotides) under Aspergillus sp. RNAcentral's name for it is "eukaryotic LSU rRNA". It matches the Rfam family "Eukaryotic large subunit ribosomal RNA", at positions 62 to 657 of the family's 3401-position model. The record is from RNAcentral. Lineage: Eukaryota; Fungi; Ascomycota; Eurotiomycetes; Eurotiales; Aspergillaceae.
AAACCAACCGGGAUUGCCUCAGUAACGGCGAGUGAAGCGGCAAGAGCUCAAAUUUGAAAUCUGGCCCCUCCGGGGUCCGAGUUGUAAUUUGCAGAGGAUGCUUCGGGUGCGGCCCCUGUCUAAGUGCCCUGGAACGGGCCGUCAGAGAGGGUGAGAAUCCCGUCUUGGGCAGGGUGCCCGUGCCCGUGUGAAGCUCCUUCGACGAGUCGAGUUGUUUGGGAAUGCAGCUCAAAAUGGGUGGUAAAUUUCAUCUAAAGCUAAAUACCGGCCGGAGACCGAUAGCGCACAAGUAGAGUGAUCGAAAGAUGAAAAGCACUUUGAAAAGAGAGUUAAACAGCACGUGAAAUUGUUGAAAGGGAAGCGCUUGCAACCAGACUCGGCCUCGGGGUUCAGCCAGCAUUCGUGCUGGUGUACUUCCCCGGGGCCGGGCCAGCGUCGGUUUGGGCGGCCGGUCAAAGGCCCCAGGAAUGUAUCGUCCUCCGGGACGUCUUAUAGCCUGGGGUGCAAUGCGGCCAGCCUGGACCGAGGAACGCGCUUCGGCACGGACGCUGGCGUAAUGGUCGCAAACGACCCGUCUUGA